GGCAGGCAUCUAACGAGAACGAAAUGUGAAGGAGAAGGAUGGGGAUGCGUCUGAUUAGCUUGUUGGCGGGGUAACGGCCCACCAAGGCGACGAUCAGUAGGGGUUCUGAGAGGAAGGUCCCCCACAUUGGAACUGAGACACGGUCCAAACUCCUACGGGAGGCAGCAGUGAGGAAUAUUGGUCAAUGGACGGGAGUCUGAACCAGCCAAGUAGCGUGCAGGACGACGGCCCUCUGGGUUGUAAACUGCUUUUAGUUGGGAAUAAAAGGCGGUACGUGUACCGCGUAUUGUAUGUACCAUCAGAAAAAGGACCGGCUAAUUCCGUG
This 325-nucleotide ribosomal RNA is filed under the name uncultured bacterium. Its description in RNAcentral is "bacterial SSU rRNA". It matches the Rfam family "Bacterial small subunit ribosomal RNA", at positions 183 to 507 of the family's 1533-position model. The record is from RNAcentral.